UCCAGACUCCUACGGGAGGCAGCAGUGGGGGAUAUUGCACAAUGGGGGGAACCCUGAUGCAGCGACGCCGCGUGGGUGAAGGAGCGUUUCGGCGCGUAAAGCCCUAUCGGCAGGGAAGAAGGAGGACGGUACCUGACUAAGAAGCCCCGGCUAACUACGUGCCAGCAGCCGCGGUAAUACGUAGGGGGCAAGCGUUAUCCGGAUUUACUGGGUGUAAAGGGGGCGCAGACGGCAGCGCAAGCCAGGAGUGAAAGCCCGGGGCCCAACCCCGGGACUGCUCUUGGAACUGCGCGGCUGGAGUGCAGGAGGGGCAGGCGGAAUUCCUGGUGUAGCGGUGAAAUGCGUAGAUAUCAGGAGGAACACCGGUGGCGAAGGCGGCCUGCUGGACUGCGACUGACGUUGAGGCCCGAAAGCGUGGGGAGCAAACAGGAUUAGAUACCCGGGUAAA
RNAcentral lists this ribosomal RNA (448 nucleotides) under uncultured bacterium. RNAcentral describes it as "partial 16S ribosomal RNA". It matches the Rfam family "Bacterial small subunit ribosomal RNA", at positions 330 to 794 of the family's 1533-position model. The record is from RNAcentral.